Molecule: ribosomal RNA, 253 nt
Filed under: uncultured bacterium
Lineage: Bacteria
Description: partial 16S ribosomal RNA
Rfam family: Bacterial small subunit ribosomal RNA
Source: RNAcentral
UACGGAGGGGGCAAGCGUUGUCCGGACUUACUGGGCGUAAAGGGUGCGUAGGCGGUUGCAUGCGUCCGCGCUGAAAUCCCGAGGCUCAACCUCGGGGCGCGUGCGGAUACGAUGCGACUUGAGGCUCGGAGAGGGUGGGAGAACUCCUGGUGUAGUGGUGAAAUGCGUAGAGAUCGGCAGGAACACCCAGGGGGAAACCAGUCGACUGGGCAUCUACUGACGCUGAGGUGCGAGAGCGUGGGGAGCGAACCGG